This 403-nucleotide ribosomal RNA is filed under the name Fusobacteriota bacterium. RNAcentral's name for it is "Fusobacteria bacterium partial 16S ribosomal RNA". It matches the Rfam family "Bacterial small subunit ribosomal RNA", at positions 355 to 776 of the family's 1533-position model. Lineage: Bacteria; Fusobacteriati; Fusobacteriota. The record is from RNAcentral.
UGGGGAAUAUUGCACAAUGGAGGGAACUCUGAUGCAGCGACGCCGCGUGAACGAAGAAGGCUUUCGAGUCGUAACGUUCUUUUAUAUGGGAAGAUAAUGACGGUACCAUAAGAAAAAGCCCCGGCUAACUACGUGCCAGCAGCCGCGGUAAUACGUAGGGGGCUAGCGUUGUCCGGAAUCACUGGGCGUAAAGGGUUCGCAGGCGGAAAUGCAAGUCAGGUGUAAAAAGAAGUAGCUUAACUACUGUAAGCAUUUGAAACUGCAUAUCUUGAGAAGAGUAGAGGAAAGUGGAAUUUUUAGUGUAGCGGUGAAAUGCGUAGAUAUUAAGAAGAAUACCGGUGGCGAAGACGACUUACUGGGCUCAUUCUGACGCUGAGGAACGAAAGCGUGGGUAGCAAACAGG